GAUGAACGCUAGCGGCAGGCUUAACACAUGCAAGUCGAGGGGUAACAGGGAGUGCGUUGCACUCCGCUGACGACCGGCGCACGGGUGCGUAACGCGUAUGCAACCUACCGUUUUACACGGGGGAUAGUCAAGAGAAAUUUUGAAUAAUACCCCAUACGAUCUUAGUCACACCUGUGAUUUAGAGGAAAACUUCGGUGGUAAAAGAUGGGCAUGCGUCCUAUUAGUUAGAUGGUGAGGUAACGGCUCCCCAUGACUACGAUAGGUAGGGGUCCUGAGAGGGAGAUCCCCCACACUGGUACUGAGACACGGACCAGACUCUUACGGGAGGCAGCAGUGAGGAAUAUUGGACAAUGGAGGCAACUCUGAUCCAGCCAUGCCGCGUGCAGGAAGACUGCCCUAUGGGUUGUAAACUGCUUUUAUACAGGAAGAAACACUCCCUCGUGAGGGGGCUUGACGGUACUGUACGAAUAAGGAUCGGCUAACUCCGUG
RNAcentral lists this ribosomal RNA (489 nucleotides) under uncultured bacterium. RNAcentral's name for it is "bacterial SSU rRNA". It matches the Rfam family "Bacterial small subunit ribosomal RNA", at positions 28 to 507 of the family's 1533-position model. The record is from RNAcentral.